GGUUUCAAGUCCCUCUAUCCCCA
RNAcentral lists this transfer RNA (23 nucleotides) under Garcinia spicata. RNAcentral describes it as "partial tRNA-Leu". The record is from RNAcentral. Lineage: Eukaryota; Viridiplantae; Streptophyta; Magnoliopsida; Malpighiales; Clusiaceae.